RNAcentral lists this microRNA precursor (61 nucleotides) under Echinococcus granulosus. RNAcentral describes it as "microRNA egr-mir-10250 precursor". Lineage: Eukaryota; Metazoa; Platyhelminthes; Cestoda; Cyclophyllidea; Taeniidae. The record is from miRBase by way of RNAcentral.
ACACUGUGAUCUGCCAAUUUGCUCUCGGCCGUCGCUCUAAAAUUGGCGGGUCAAAGCGUAC